UAUUCGUUGUGUGAGUUUAUGUCUUGGCUAGGUAAAUCUUAGCUGGGUGAAUCGAAAAUCUAAGAGUAUUUUACAAGGUUUUAAAAACCGGACCGGACCGGCCGGUCGAACCGGUUGAUCCGUGAACCGGUACGGUAGCCGAGUUCUGUGAAAGGCAAAACCGUUUUGGAAUAAAAAUCGGAUUGGACCGCGGUUGAACCGCCGGUUCUCGGCUGAACCGCGGUCCAAACCGGUCCAUGCAGUUACCGGUUCAACCUGCAUAAAAAUAUAACAGUGUUUUUCUUUUGUUUCUCUUCCUUGCAGUGCACGCACGCAGACGCAGUCCUCAACUGCUGCAGCGGACGAAUUUCUCCGACGAAUUUCCUGUUCUUUGCCGACGACGGUUUGAAUACGGCUGCCGAUGACCACGCUGCCGCCGAGUGGUGUCGGUUUGCAGGCUUACAAGGCAGCAGUUUCAGGGCGACUUUCCAGGCUCAGACGUUGGCUGACGACGGCGAUUUCCGUUGCUGUUCUGACCGGCGACUUCUCAGGCAACGACGGGAAGCUAGUGUUUUCUUAUCGGCUUGUUGUUCCAGAUUUUUGAAAUUGGUAUUAUGGUUGUACAAAUACUUGAAUUGACGCCAAAUCGGAGCAGCCAACCACUUGCCAACUUCAA
Long non-coding RNA from Mangifera indica (mango), 655 nucleotides. RefSeq lists it as uncharacterized. The transcript has 2 exons. NCBI's taxonomy places the organism in Eukaryota, Viridiplantae, Streptophyta, Magnoliopsida, Sapindales, Anacardiaceae. The record is from RefSeq and is a predicted model, not a curated record.